Molecule: long non-coding RNA, 1436 nt
Filed under: Ovis aries (sheep)
Lineage: Eukaryota; Metazoa; Chordata; Mammalia; Artiodactyla; Bovidae
Description: lncRNA (ENSOARG00000026853.1)
Source: RNAcentral
AUAAUCUCUAUCAAGUGUUGCUUACUAACUAGCACGUGCACGUGUGCUCAGCCGCUCAGUUGUGUCCGACUCUUUGCAACGCCAAGGACAGUAGCCCUCUAGGCUCCUCUGUCCGUGGAAUUUUCCAGGGAAGAAUACUGGAGUGGUUGCUAUUUCCUACUCCAGGGAAUCUUCUCGACCUACAGAUUGAAUCCGCAUCUCUGGCAUCUCCGGCAUUGGCAGGAGGAUUUUUUUUCCCCAUCACUGCGCCACCUGGGACUAGCACUUAACCAAAAUACUAACUAUUAUUACGUGUAUUGUUAUCUCUUUUUUCAUCCUCUAGUCCCUGAAGUUCUGAUUGUUUUUAUAUAGACACUUAGCCCCUUUCUGGGUUCUCUUUUUUCCUUAGGAAACCUGGGCCUGAGCCCAUUUUACAGGAGCAUCUCCACCACAUUGGAUUCUCUGCCUUCUGGAACGCAUAGUAGGUGGCUAAAUGGAGUCGGUCCCAGGAGAGCUCAGCUGCGACUCCAGGUUGUCAGUGGGGCAUCGACAUUAAUACAGGAUGUCGAGGCCGCUACUGAUUGAGAACAGCAGCUUUGAAGUCAGACGACAGGUUCCAGGCCUGACUCUGAUCUCUGACCAUCUACAAGGCCUUAGACAACAGAGUCCCUAGUCUAUGCCUUAGUCUGCUCGCCUGCAGCCAGGGCUGCGAUGGCGCUCAGCCGGUGCCCCACCAGGUGGCGCUCUUCCCCGCCUCUGCUCUGUGCCUCCGGGGGACCCCAAACCCCCUUGGGAAGCACCCAGAGGUCGGUUGGCACAUCCGCCUCCCAGGAGGGCACACCUCAGGUCAGACUUGUGCAAAUGCAGCUCUCAGAAGCUGCUGGGCCCCAAGAGUCCUGCCCACGGAGUGAGUGUGCGAUUGUCGCAUAUAAUUCUUCCUGACCUGGCAGGAAUCUCACUUUCACCUCCUCUUCUUCCUGUUGAAAUCCCCUCAAGCUGAGCUGAUGAGUGCAGAUUACUCGCUCCCCAUUUCCCGAGCACGUCCAGGCAGUUCCCUACCUUUGUGCCUCUGCCGAUCUCUGGAACGAGGUGACGGUUGCCCGAGGCCCUGGCCUGCCGGGGAGCUCUGCAGCCCUCGAGGGCUGACCUCUGCCCGCUGGGCCUGCAGGGGCUCAGGGACAAACCCAGGCUCUGUUCUUCCUCCGCACCCACGGACAUGUGAAGCAGGCUUCGCGCACUGGUCUCCACGAAACUUCAUCGCAGCCACUGUGACCUUGAGUCUUCCUGGAGGACAGGCAAGCUGGCUUUUACAAAAUGUUUUGUUUUUAUUGGUUUUUAAUGCUAGCCCUGAAAAAGAAUGCCUUGGUUUUGGCCCAGGGUGCUGUCAAAACAAAAGCCUUCCCGUAUCCAGGAUAGAAGCAGGUUUCCGGAGGGCCCAAGCGUGUUGCCACGGUUGA